This is a long non-coding RNA of Talpa occidentalis (Iberian mole), 678 nucleotides long. RefSeq lists it as uncharacterized. Lineage: Eukaryota; Metazoa; Chordata; Mammalia; Eulipotyphla; Talpidae. The transcript is spliced from 3 exons. The record is from RefSeq and is a predicted model, not a curated record.
CAGUGAAUAAUAUUCUGUAUUCUGAAUCUUACAGGAACUUCCAGGGAAAUGAAAUAAUGCCCCAAGGAAACAUGCAUUAGAUGAAUUAUCUUCAUAAAGUAAAUGCCACAUUUGGCCUUGUACGGUGGCAGCCCUGUAUGAUUAACUGCAAUGGCCUUAAAAUUGGAAAUGUCUGCUAAAAACGUUUUAAUGUUUUUCUCCCAGCAGAAAUACUCAAAGAACAAGAAUGUAGGCCAGUGGUGCCGUUGGUGAGAGGAUUCAUCAGCGACAGAGUUAGGAGCUGAACAGGCAGAGUAAAUGAAAUACACUGCGAAGAGGAGCAGCGGGCAUGAAAGGAGAGGAUGGAAAAUGUCGUUAAAAGCCCAUUUAGCGAGAAAUGAGGAGACUGCGAGCCCCUCAAACUCAGACCUUUUAAGAUACAGGUGGAAGGACCCUGGCUCAGCCUGGAGGCCUCCAGCAGCUCUAAGCCCUCACACUGUAAGAUGUUAAAGGACUAAACAUAGCAAGACAGCAGCCAUUUUAAGGAAAACGACCGUUUUAAAGAGCACAGCUGUCCGUUGCAGGGUAAAACCACAAGAACCACGAGGCCAGGGUGAACGAAACUUAAAGGCUGCCAAAGAAAGGUACACAAUCAGAUUGAACUUGGUCCCCGUUGUGAAAGGUCCCCUUUUUCUGAUA